AAAAUAGGACAAUGAGGUUAUCUAACGUUCUAUAAUGAGAACCCCAACGAGUAUCACCUGGUCGUUGAAUCCCACGUUCUUGAUUUAGUCCACGUCCAGUAUGCACUUCACCUGAUAUGAGCAACUCCUCUAAUUUUUCAACUUGAUAUUGUCGAAGCAAAUCUCUGCGCUUAAAAGAUGAUCCAACAAUAUUUAACACAUUAGUAACUAUACAGAAAAAGUCAUCUAUAUCUGAAUGCUUCUUUGCAAGAGCCACAAGUGUUAAUUGCAAUUGGUGAGCAAAACAAUGAAUGCAAUACGCCGAUGGAGUUUCAUUCAGAAUCAAAGUUUUAAGAC
Molecule: long non-coding RNA, 336 nt
Filed under: Nicotiana benthamiana
Lineage: Eukaryota; Viridiplantae; Streptophyta; Magnoliopsida; Solanales; Solanaceae
Description: long non-coding RNA (NBEN_LNC005370)
Source: RNAcentral